RNAcentral lists this ribosomal RNA (471 nucleotides) under uncultured bacterium. RNAcentral's name for it is "bacterial SSU rRNA". It matches the Rfam family "Bacterial small subunit ribosomal RNA", at positions 335 to 799 of the family's 1533-position model. The record is from RNAcentral.
ACUCCUACGGGAGGCAGCAGUGGGGAAUAUUGCACAAUGGGCGCAAGCCUGAUGCAGCCAUGCCGCGUGUAUGAAGAAGGCCUUCGGGUUGUAAAGUACUUUCAGCAGUGAGGAAGGUGGUAGUGUUAAUAGCACUAUCAUUUGACGUUAGCUGCAGAAGAAGCACCGGCUAACUCCGUGCCAGCAGCCGCGGUAAUACGGAGGGUGCGAGCGUUAAUCGGAAUUACUGGGCGUAAAGCGCAUGCAGGUGGUUUGUUAAGUCAGAUGUGAAAGCCCGGGGCUCAACCUCGGAAUUGCAUUUGAAACUGGCAGACUAGAGUACUGUAGAGGGGGGUAGAAUUUCAGGUGUAGCGGUGAAAUGCGUAGAGAUCUGAAGGAAUACCGGUGCGAAGGCGGCCCCUGGACAGAUACUGACACUCAGAUGCGAAAGCGUGGGGAGCAAACAGGAUUAGAUACCCUGGUAGGAUAGCG